RNAcentral lists this ribosomal RNA (371 nucleotides) under uncultured organism. RNAcentral's name for it is "bacterial SSU rRNA". It matches the Rfam family "Bacterial small subunit ribosomal RNA", at positions 526 to 896 of the family's 1533-position model. The record is from RNAcentral.
CGUAGGUGGCAAGCGUUGUCCGGAAUUACUGGGUGUAAAGGGAGCGUAGGCGGGAACGUAAGUUGAAUGUGAAAUUUACGGGCUCAACUCGUAAACUGCGUUCAAAACUGUGUUUCUUGAGUUAAGUAGAGGCAGGCGGAAUUCCCUGUGUAGCGGUGAAAUGCGCAGAUAUAGGGAGGAACACCAGUGGCGAAGGCGGCCUGCUGGGCUUUUACUGACGCUGAGGCUCGAAAGCGUGGGUAGCAAACAGGAUUAGAUACCCUGGUAGUCCACGCUGUAAACGAUGAUUACUAGGUGUGGGGGGACAGACCCCCUCCGUGCCGGAGUUAACACAAUAAGUAAUCCACCUGGGGAGUACGACCGCAAGGUUG